This 978-nucleotide long non-coding RNA is filed under the name Equus asinus (donkey). RNAcentral's name for it is "lncRNA (ENSEASG00005031926.1)". The record is from RNAcentral. Lineage: Eukaryota; Metazoa; Chordata; Mammalia; Perissodactyla; Equidae.
UCUCUGGUUCCUUACUGCACCGCUCAACUAGGUCAACGCAAGGUGAUCUCCGGGAGAGAGGCAGUGCUCUGAGCGCGCCACCUUUUACGUGUCGCGCCGUCGUCCCUCCUUCCCUCGCCCCGCACCCUCGCCUCGCCCUUUCGGACUGUCCGGGAACUGGUUCCCUCCAGCCGCCCUCACCUGUUCUGCCUCCCCCUGGAGGCAUAACAGUUAGAGAGAUCAGUCGUGGGAGAUUAGAUUUCUCGGCGUCAAACUUCCAUCUAGGCAACCGCCCUAGGCUGGAGCUGGCCUCUCAGUCGACCUUACCUUUGUUGGAGGGUGGUGGUGUGCGGGGGGGCAGGCGUGGAGAUUGUGAGGAACGGGAGAGGCGAGCUGAGAGAAGGGGCGAGAGGCUACAGUAACUUAGAAAAAGCAAUUGGAGGGGUCAAAGAAGGCGUAUUUGACAUUAGUGUUGCUAUAAAAACCUGUUUACUACUACUUCUCGUCCCCCGGACUUCUGUUUGGUCUGAGUGCAGCUCUCCUCUCGGAGACACUGAGUCAGUACAUUGCUGGUCUUGCCCUCUUUUGGAAAAAGAAAAUAGCCUUGAGGAUUCGUAGUCCCUAUCCAAACCUCCUGGGGCCUUUUAAACCAGGUGCCAAGCUGAAUUGUCCACCGCACCACCUUGCCCGCAGGAGGCAAGCUGUUUAGGGGAAGCAUGGCGUGUGCUGGGCGCUGACAGCGACUUCGUGUGACUCUGAAGGGCACGCUGGAAAGUUUCCUAGAUUGAAGAUAACUCCUCUCCAAGUGCUAUAUAUAAUCCAGCGUCUCCAUCACCUCCUGGCCAGCCCUCAGGAUGAAGUCCAAGUUCUCCACUAUAUGAUAAAAGAAAAUGAUGAUCAGAAAAGUUACAUGACUGGCCCAAGGUCACAAUAAAGAUAUCUCAACCUCAGUGUGUCCAACAUGGAGUCUCUGAUCUCCACUGCCUCCCAGACUGCUUC